RNAcentral lists this ribosomal RNA (253 nucleotides) under uncultured bacterium. RNAcentral's name for it is "partial 16S ribosomal RNA". It matches the Rfam family "Bacterial small subunit ribosomal RNA", at positions 524 to 776 of the family's 1533-position model. The record is from RNAcentral.
UACAGAGGUCCCAAGCGUUGUUCGGAUUCACUGGGCGUAAAGGGUGCGUAGGCGGGUCUUUAAGUCAGGGGUGAAAUCCUGGAGCUCAACUCCAGAACUGCCUUUGAUACUGAAGAUCUUGAGUUCGGGAGAGGUGAGUGGAACUGCGAGUGUAGAGGUGAAAUUCGUAGAUAUUCGCAAGAACACCAGUGGCGAAGGCGGCUCACUGGCCCGAUACUGGCGCUGAGGCACGAAAGCGUGGGGAGCAAACAGG